RNAcentral lists this long non-coding RNA (3780 nucleotides) under Homo sapiens (human). RNAcentral describes it as "HSALNT0217112". Lineage: Eukaryota; Metazoa; Chordata; Mammalia; Primates; Hominidae. The record is from RNAcentral.
CUCUGUUGCCGGGCUCCUGACCCUGCCCUCCCAUCCCUGCACUACAAGAGGACAGCGGCGACUACAGGAGGCGCCGAAGACGCUGCUGAAGGCCCUAAAGAAACUUCAGCAGAACCGGAACUCCCCUUGCAGGUCCAGCCGCGGGCCCUGCGCCCUCCCGCUCAGCCGAGCGGGGCCGAGGGCGCGUUUGCUGAGUGUCUGGUGGCCUCUACCCAAGCGCCUCUUCAGAGGGCUGUUCCUGCGGCCCAGAGACUGCUUGAGGCGCUCGGGGAAGGAAAAGCAGGCGCUGGUGCGCCGGGGGCUCUGCUGGGGACGGCGCGGAGCUGACUGAAGGGCCGCUGCGGUAGCGCAGGGCGCAGGAGCUGCUCCGCCCCGGAGCGCCGGGAAGGUUGGCGCUGGCAGCCUCCAGCCCCUGCCAGCCGGGCGAGAGCAGGCGGAGAAGGAGGAUGCACCGUCACCUAUGGCUCGCCUCCACCGGCCGGCACGCAAGAUGUGUAUUCUCAUUUUAUGGAAGACAUGUUGCCAGAGUAAAGCACAAUAUAUUCAUCUUGAAAUGUAAUACUGAGAAGAUAUGGAAGUUAUGGAAGUUGUGGCCUUCAGAAUUGACACUUACGGAGAGACUAGAACAGCGUGGGUGAGUUGUGAGGGGCAGGAAGCAUGUCUUAAUGGACUUAACCAAUUUUCGUCAACUAUUCACAGUAAAAUCUUUCAAUGUACAAAAUUUAAUAAUCUGAUAAACAAUAAACAAAAUAUUUGAAUAGGCAUUUUUCAUAAGACGUACAAAGGGCAGACAGGCAUACGAAAAGGUGCUCAACAUUUUUGAUCAUCAGACAAAUGCAAAUCAAAACUACAAUGAGAUAUUACGUGACUCAGUUAAAUGGCUUAUAUCCAAAAGGUAGGCAGUAACAAAUGCUGGAGAGAAGUGGAGAAAGGGAGCCCUUGUAUGCUGUUGACAGGAAUGUAACAUUUUGAAAAUUCUUCAAAACAACUAAAAAUAAAGCUACCAUAUAAUUCAGGAAUGCCACUCCUGAGGAUUCACUUACUAGAAAGGAAAUCCAUACAUUGAAGAGAUAUCUACCCUCCCAUGUUUGUUACAGCAGUGUGCUCCAGCCAAUAUUUGGAAGUAACCUGAUGUCCAUCAAGAAAUGACUGGAUAAAGAAAACAUGGCACAUAUACACAAUGGAAUACUAUUUAGCCAUAAAAAAUAAGAUCCUAUUAUUUGCAACAACAUUGAUGGAACCAUAGAUUAAGUGAAAUAAGCCAGGCACAGAAAAACAAACUUUCCAUGUUCUCACUUAUUUGUCGGAGCUAAAAAUCAAAACAAUAUAACUCAUGUAGGUAGAGGUAGUUGCCAGAGGCUGGGAAGGGCAGUGGGGAAUGUAGGGGACGGUAGGGAUGGUUAAUGAGUACAAAAAAAAAGAAAGAAUUAGUAAGACCUAGUGUUUGAUAGUACAUCUGGGUAACUAUAGUCAAUAAUAAUUUUAAUUGUACAUUUUAUAAUAACGAAAAAAGUAAAAUUAGAUUGGUUGUAACACAAAGAAUAAAUGCCUGAGGGGAUGAUGGAUACCCCAUUUUCCAUGAUGUGAUUAUUUCUUUCUAUGCCUGUAUUAAAGUAUCUCAUAUAUCACAUCAAUAUAUCUCCAACUAAGUACCCACAAAAAUAAAAAAUUUAAACCAAUUCAAAAUGCCAGAAUUUCUAUACAUGAACUAUAAACUACCUGAAAAAGUCAAGUAAACAAUUUUAUUUAUAAUAACUACAAAAAGUUUACUCAUAAAUGUAACCAAAAUGGUGAAAGAUUUCUAUAUUAAAAUUAAAAAACACUGAGUAGAAAAACUUUCUAAAUCACAAAUAAAUGGAAAGAUAUUUCUGGUUCAUUGAUUGGCAGAAUUAAUACUGUUAAAAUGUCUACACUGAGCAAAACAAUCUACAGAUUCAAAGCAGUCUCUUAUCUGUAUACAAAUGAAAUUAUUUAGAAUAUUUCAAAAAUUCUAAAGUUCAUAUGGCAUCACAAAAACACUAAACAGCAACAGAAAUUAAGCACAAAUAAUACAGCUGGAAGCAUUACACUACCUUUGAAAUACACUACAAAGCUUUAGGAAUUGAUACAGUAUGAUAACUGGUUUAAAAAGAGAAACAUAGGUGAAUAAAGCAGAAUGCAGAGCCCAGAAACAAAUUCAUAAAAUUUCAGGAUCUUACACAAAGGUGACAAGAACACACAGUGGGGAAAGGACAGUUACUUCAAAAGUGGUGUUAUGAAAACUGAGUAUCUCCAGGCAGAACAAUGAAAUGAGACCCUCCACCAACAUAAAUCAAAGACUCAAAACUCUGGAACUGCUACAAAAAACAGAGUGAAAGCUCCAUGACAUUGGUGGGGACAAUAAUUUUUUCUUAUUUAUUUCACCUCAAAAUCCCAGCAAACAAAAGUGGAAGUAGACAAAUGAGAUUACUUGAAAACUGAAAAGCUUCUACACAGCACUAGGUACAACCAACAGAAGAAAAAUAACGUAUAAAUAAGAGAAAAUAUUUAUGAGUUAUAUAUCUGACAAAGGGUUACUAUCCAAAAUAGACAGGAAACUCAAACAACUAUAGAACAAUAAACAAGUAACUAUUAAAAUGGGUGAAAGAUGUAAAUAAACAUUUCUUAAAGGAAGACAUACAAAUGGUAAAAAAUAUAUGAAAAAAAUGCGAGGUAACUUAUCAUAAGGCUAAUCUAAGGUUAAGGCUAAUCUAAGGUUAGGACUAAUCUAAACCUCUAUUAGAUAACAACUCACUACUGUUAGAAUGACUAUUAAUAAAAAGCCAAAAAAAUAAUUAUUGGCAAAGAUGUGGAGCAAAGGGAAUGCUUGCGCACUGAAUGUAAAUCAGCGUAGCCAUUAUACAAAACAGUAUGGAGAUUUCUCAAACAUUAAAAGCUGAACUAUCAUAUGAUACAGCAAUAUCAUUAUUGGGCACAUAUCAAAAAAAUCAAGUAUGUGAAAGAGACAUCUGUGCUGUUAUGUUUAUUGCAGCACUAUUCACAAUAGCCAAGAUAUAAAAUCAAACUCAGGGUUUAUUAUCAAAUAAAAUGAUAAAGAACAUGUGGCAUACAUCCAUUCUGUACGAAUGGAUUAUUAUUCAGCCUUAAAAUAGAAAAUACUGUCAUUUUCAAUUACAUGGAUGAACAUGAAGGAGAUUAUGUUAAUUGAAAUAAUGCAGACACAGAAAGACAAAUACCUCAUGAUUUUGCUCAUAUGUGGAAUUUUAAAAAAUUGAUCGCAUUGAAGUAGAGACUAAAAUAGUGGAACGAGAGGCUAAGAUAUUUUGGAAGGGGAUUGGGUAGAUGUCUUUCAAAGAAUAUAUAAUUAGUUAGAUUAAAGGAAUAAGUUAAAAAAAUCUGUUGUAAAGCCUGGUGACUAUAGUUAAUGAUGACAUACUGUUAUGUUUUAAAAAUACUGAUAUAGUCAAUGUUAAGUGUUCUCCAUCACAAAAAUGAUAACUAUAUGAGGUAAAGCACUUGUUAAUUAGCCAGAAUUUAAUAUUACACAAUGUAUGCAUGCUUUAAACCACAUUUUACAUGACAAUACAUAUAAUUUUAUCUGUCAAUUUAAAAAAUGUAGAAACAUGAAAAGGUAGUGUUUCAAAUAAUCAGUCUGUGUCUUAUUCAUAAGCUUAGCAGAGUAGUAUCAAAAUAUAUAGUUUUUGUGAUGUUUUUGUCAUUUCAUUUGUCAGUCAUAAGCAUAGAAACUCAGAUAUUUACCAGCAUGUGCAAGAACCAGCACAGUGCCUGGGAGAAUCCUAU